This 205-nucleotide long non-coding RNA is filed under the name Phoenix dactylifera (date palm). Its description in RNAcentral is "long non-coding RNA (PDAC_LNC013524)". The record is from RNAcentral. Lineage: Eukaryota; Viridiplantae; Streptophyta; Magnoliopsida; Arecales; Arecaceae.
AGGCAUGGCAAUUGUUUGAGAACCUUAAUGAAAAUUCCCUCCACCAUGCCUCCUCUGCUCGUCAAGCACCCCCGAGUUCUGAAAGAAAAGGAACCAUAUAUGAAGUUAGGCAGUCUAUAGGUCUAUCGGACAAAGUAGAUGCACUAUCCCGCAAGUUGGACCAGCUAAUGUCUAGAGAACAGCUUCCAAACUUUUCCCAAGCACA